GACGAACGCUGGCGGCGUGCUUAACACAUGCAAGUCGAACGGAAAGGCCCUGCUUUUGUGGGGUGCUCGAGUGGCGAACGGGUGAGUAACACGUGAGUAACCUGCCCUUGACUUUGGGAUAACUUCAGGAAACUGGGGCUAAUACCGGAUAGGAGCUCCUGCUGCAUGGUGGGGGUUGGACAGUUUCGGCGGUUGGGGAUGGACUCGCGGCUUAUCAGCUUGUUGGUGGGGGAGUGGCUUACCAAGGCUUUGACGGGUAGCCGGCCUGAGAGGGUGACCGGCCACAUUGGGACUGCGAUACGGCCCAGACUCCUACGGUAGGCAGCAGUGGGGAAUAUUGCACAAUGGGCGGAAGCCUGAUGCAGCAACGCCGCGUGCGGGAUGACGGCCUUCGGGUUGUAAACCGCUUUCGCCUGUGACGAAGCGUGAGUGACGGUAAUGGGUAAAGAAGCACCGGCUAACUACGUG
RNAcentral lists this ribosomal RNA (468 nucleotides) under uncultured bacterium. Its description in RNAcentral is "partial 16S ribosomal RNA". It matches the Rfam family "Bacterial small subunit ribosomal RNA", at positions 28 to 507 of the family's 1533-position model. The record is from RNAcentral.